AUUAUCCUACGGGAGGCAGCAGUGGGGGAUAUUGGACAAUGGGGGAAACCCUGAUCCAGCGAUGCCGCGUGAGGGAAGAAGGUUUUCGGAUUGUAAACCUCUGUGGAGGGGGACGAUAAUGACGGUACCCCUUUAGGAAGCCACGGCUAACUACGUGCCAGCAGCCGCGGUAAUACGUAGGUGGCGAGCGUUGUCCGGAAUUACUGGGUGUAAAGGGAGUGUAGGCGGGAAAGCAAGUCAGAAGGUAAACAUUUGGG
Molecule: ribosomal RNA, 257 nt
Filed under: uncultured bacterium
Lineage: Bacteria
Description: partial 16S ribosomal RNA
Rfam family: Bacterial small subunit ribosomal RNA
Source: RNAcentral